Molecule: ribosomal RNA, 695 nt
Filed under: uncultured bacterium
Lineage: Bacteria
Description: bacterial SSU rRNA
Rfam family: Bacterial small subunit ribosomal RNA
Source: RNAcentral
CAUGCAAGUCGAACGAGAAAGGGUUCUUCGGAACCCGAGUACAGUGGCGAACGGGUGCGUAACACGUAGGCAACCUGCCCUUGAGUGGGGAAUAACUACCGGAAACGGUGGCUAAUACCGCAUGAAGACCAGAGAUCGCAUGAUCUUCGGUUGAAAGACUUCGGUCGCUCAAGGAUGGGCCUGCGGCGGAUUAGCUUGUUGGUGAGGUAAAAGCUCACCAAGGCUACGAUCCGUAGCUGGUCUGAGAGGAUGAUCAGCCACACUGGCACUGAGACACGGGCCAGACUCCUACGGGAGGCAGCAGUAAGGAAUCUUGCGCAAUGGAGGAAACUCUGACGCAGCCACGCCGCGUGAAGGAAGACACCCCUAUGGGGCGUAAACUUCUUUUAUAUGGGAAGAACCCCCUGCUCUGCAGGGUCUGACGGUACCAUAUGAAUAAGCACCGGCUAACUCCGUGCCAGCAGCCGCGGUAAUACGGAGGGUGCAAGCGUUGUCCGGAAUCACUGGGUGUAAAGGGUGUGUAGGCGGGGCAGUAAGUCAGAGGUGAAAGCCCACGGCUCAACCGUGGAAUUGCCUUUGAUACUGCUGUUCUUGAGUCCUGGAGAGGUCGCCGGAAUUCGUGGUGUAGCGGUGAAAUGCGUAGAUAUCACGAGGAACACCGGAGGUGUAGACGGGUGACUGGACAGGUACUGACG